Molecule: ribosomal RNA, 455 nt
Filed under: uncultured Planctomycetota bacterium
Lineage: Bacteria; Pseudomonadati; Planctomycetota
Description: bacterial SSU rRNA
Rfam family: Bacterial small subunit ribosomal RNA
Source: RNAcentral
ACGAAGCGACGCCGCGUGUGGGGAGAAGGCCUUCGGGUUGUAAACCACUGUCGGGAGUUAGGAAAUGCAGGUGCGUUAAUAGCGCACUUGCUUGACUAAGGCUCCAGAGGAAGCCACGGCUAACUCUGUGCCAGCAGCCGCGGUAAUACAGAGGCGGCAAGCGUUGUUCGGAAUUAUUGGGCGUAAAGAGCACGUAGGCGGCCUUGCAAGUCAGUUGUGAAAGCCUUCCGCUUAACGGAAGAACGGCAUCUGAUACUACAGGGCUUGAGUACGGGAGGGGAGAGUGGAACUUCUGGUGGAGCGGUGAAAUGCGUAGAUAUCAGAAGGAACGCCGGCGGCGAAAGCGACUCUCUGGUCCGAAACUGACGCUGAGUGUGCGAAAGCUAGGGGAGCAAACGGGAUUAGAUACCCCGGUAGUCCUAGCCGUAAACGAUGGGCACUAAGUAGAGGGAAUU